AUUGAACGCUGGCGGCAGGCCUAACACAUGCAAGUCGAGCGGAGCGGCGGAGGGGUGAGGAAUGCCAAGGAAUCGGCAUGGUAGUGAGGGACACCGUCAGGGAACGGGAGACAAUGCAGACAGCUAUAAGAGAAGCAUCGGUCGGAGUAGCUAGUUGGGGGGGUAAAGGACUACCAAGGCGACGAUCCGUAACCGGUCUGAGCGGAUGAUCAGUCACACUGGAACUGAGACACGGUCCAGACUCCUACGGGAGGCAGCAGUGGGGAAUAUUGGACAAUGGGCGAAAGCCUGAGCCAGCCAUGCCGCGUGUGUGAAGAAGGUCUUCGGAUUGUAAAGCACUUUUGGUAGGGAGGCGUUACCAACAGAAUAAGCACCGGCUAACUCCGUGCCAGCAGCCGCGGUAAUAC
RNAcentral lists this ribosomal RNA (407 nucleotides) under uncultured bacterium. RNAcentral's name for it is "partial 16S ribosomal RNA". It matches the Rfam family "Bacterial small subunit ribosomal RNA", at positions 29 to 526 of the family's 1533-position model. The record is from RNAcentral.